RNAcentral lists this transfer RNA (77 nucleotides) under Rickettsiales bacterium. RNAcentral's name for it is "tRNA-Pro". It matches the Rfam family "tRNA". Rfam says of the family: Transfer RNA (tRNA) molecules are approximately 80 nucleotides in length. Their secondary structure includes four short double-helical elements and three loops (D, anti-codon, and T loops). Further hydrogen bonds mediate the characteristic L-shaped molecular structure. tRNAs have two regions of fundamental functional importance: the anti-codon, which is responsible for specific mRNA codon recognition, and the 3' end, to which the tRNAs corresponding amino acid is attached (by aminoacyl-tRNA synthetases). tRNAs cope with the degeneracy of the genetic code in two manners: having more than one tRNA (with a specific anti-codon) for a particular amino acid; and 'wobble' base-pairing, i.e. permitting non-standard base-pairing at the 3rd anti-codon position. The record is from RNAcentral. Lineage: Bacteria; Pseudomonadati; Pseudomonadota; Alphaproteobacteria; Rickettsiales.
CGGGGCGUAGCUCAGUCUGGUAGAGUGUCUGCUUUGGGAGCAGAAAGUCGCAUGUUCGAAUCAUGUCGCCCCGACCA